Molecule: long non-coding RNA, 152 nt
Organism: Hibiscus syriacus
Lineage: Eukaryota; Viridiplantae; Streptophyta; Magnoliopsida; Malvales; Malvaceae
Exons: 4
Source: RefSeq, a predicted model, not a curated record
CUGAGGAAGGAGCAACUUCCAGAAAAUCAUGAAAAUCGGGUUACUCAAUGCUCCAUAGUGAAACGGGUGUCAGGUUUUGGACAACUUCAAAGGUUAUAAACAAGUGAGAGAGAUAGAGGAGGGUUUAGAUUUGCUUUACUGCCAAUGUCUGU